Molecule: ribosomal RNA, 592 nt
Filed under: uncultured bacterium
Lineage: Bacteria
Description: bacterial SSU rRNA
Rfam family: Bacterial small subunit ribosomal RNA
Source: RNAcentral
CCUACGGGAGGCAGCAGUGGGGAAUAUUGGACAAUGGGCGAAAGCCUGAUCCAGCAAUGCCGCGUGAGUGAUGAAGGCCUUCGGGUCGUAAAGCUCUUUUACCAGGGAUGAUAAUGACAGUACCUGGAGAAUAAGCUCCGGCUAACUCCGUGCCAGCAGCCGCGGUAAUACGGAGGGAGCUAGCGUUGUUCGGAAUUACUGGGCGUAAAGAGUACGUAGGCGGUUAUUCAAGUCAGAGGUGAAAGCCCGGGGCUCAACCCCGGAACUGCCUUUGAAACUAGAUAGCUAGAGUCUUGGAGAGGUUAGUGGAAUUCCGAGUGUAGAGGUGAAAUUCGUAGAUAUUCGGAAGAACACCAGUGGCGAAGGCGACUAACUGGACAAGUACUGACGCUGAGGUACGAAAGCGUGGGGAGCAAACAGGAUUAGAUACCCUGGUAGUCCACGCCGUAAACGAUGAUAACUAGUUGUUCGGUCACUUGGUGACUGAGUGACGCAGCUAACGCAUUAAGUUAUCCGCCUGGGGAGUACGGUCGCAAGAUUAAAACUCAAAGGAAUUGACGGCUGAGAGUUGCGAGACGACACGAGGAGGAGG